GUGAAUCAUCGAAUUUUUGAACGCAAAUUGCACUCUCUGCUAUUCCGGAGAGUAUGUCUGUUUGAGGGUCAGUAUAUCUAAAAAUCUGUUUGGUUGCUGCCUUUCGUGGUGACGCACCGGUUUUGGGUCGUCUUGGCUUCGGGUAAGUUACCUAUUAUUUUGCGUGAUCUUUUUCGAACGUAUUUAAAUUAUUUUACGUAG
RNAcentral lists this unclassified non-coding RNA (201 nucleotides) under Glomeraceae sp. Its description in RNAcentral is "partial contains 5.8S ribosomal RNA and internal transcribed spacer 2". The stretch from base 1 to 71 matches the Rfam family "5.8S ribosomal RNA", at positions 84 to 154 of the family's 154-position model. Lineage: Eukaryota; Fungi; Glomeromycota; Glomeromycetes; Glomerales; Glomeraceae. The record is from RNAcentral.